UGAAUACGAGAUGCUACGGCGUCGAAGCAGUCUAUGUCAUACUUCCAAGAAAAGCUCGCACUGUCAUAAACAAAUAAUGCCUGUACCAUAACCGACACAGGUGGGUAGGUAGAGUAUACUAAGGGGCGCGAGAUAACUCUCUCUAAGGAACUCGGCAAAAUGACUCCGUAACUUCGGGAGAAGGAGUGCCUUAUUUAUAAGGUUGCAAUAACAAGAUCCAAGCAACUGUUUAUCAAAAACACAGGUCUCCGCUAAGUCGUAAGACGAUGUAUGGGGGCUGACGCCUGCCCAGUGCCAGAAGGUUAAAGAAGUUGGUUAGCAUUCGCGAAGCUGAUAACUGAAGCCCUGGUGAACGGCGGCCGUAACGAUAACGGUCCUAAGGUAGCGAAAUUCCUUGUCGGGUAAGUUCCGACCCGCACGAAAGGCGUAAUGAUUUGGAUACUGUCUCGGAGAGGGGCUCGGUGAAAUAGACUUGUCUGUGAAGAUGCGGUCUACCUGCACCAGGACAGAAAGACCCUAUGAAGCUUUACUGUAACUUGAGAUUGAAAUUGGACUUUACUUGCGCAGUAUAGGUGGGAGGCGUUGAUAAUAUUCUUGCGGGAUUAUUUGAGCCAUCAGUGAGAUACCACUCUUGUAAUGUUAGAUUUCUAACUUUAUAUCAUUAUCUGGUCAAAGGACAGUUUCAGGCGGGCAGUUUGACUGGGGCGGUCGCCUCCUAAACGGUAACGGAGGCGCACAAAGGUUUCCUCUGAACGGGUAGAAAUCGUAUCUAGAGUGUAAAGGCAUAAGGAAGCUUGACUGUGAGACCUACAAGUCGAGCAGGGACGAAAGUCGGUCUUAGUGAUCUGACGGUGCUGAGUGGAAAGGCCGUCACUCAACGGAUAAAAGUUACUCUAGGAUAACAGGCUGAUCUCCCCCAAGAGUUCACAUCGACGGGGAGGUUUGGCACCUCGAUGUCGGCUCAUCGCAUCCUGGGGCGGUAGUACGUCCCAAGGGUUGGGCUGUUCGCCCAUGAAAGCGGUACGCGAGCUGGGUUCAGAACGUCGUGAGACAGUUCGGUCCAUAUCCGGUGUAGGCGUUAGAAUAUUGAGAGGAGCCUUCUUUAGUACGAGAGGACCGAGAAGGACAUACCUCUGGUGUACCAGUUAUCGUGCCAACGGUAAACGCUGGGUAGCUAUGUAUGGAGUGGAUAACCGCUGAAAGCAUCUAAGUGGGAAGCCCACCUCAAGAUAAG
This 1234-nucleotide ribosomal RNA is filed under the name metagenome. Its description in RNAcentral is "bacterial LSU rRNA". It matches the Rfam family "Bacterial large subunit ribosomal RNA", at positions 1564 to 2808 of the family's 2925-position model. The record is from RNAcentral.